This is a long non-coding RNA of Oncorhynchus keta (chum salmon), 3398 nucleotides long. RefSeq lists it as uncharacterized. Lineage: Eukaryota; Metazoa; Chordata; Actinopteri; Salmoniformes; Salmonidae. The record is from RefSeq and is a predicted model, not a curated record. The transcript is spliced from 2 exons.
AAGUGGUUGCUAGAUUUAAGCGGUUUGUUGUCUGCGGGAUGUCCCGGAAUGAAACCGGCCGGAUUGGAGUUUUAUUUAGUCUAUGGAGGUGCGGAACGGGAAAAUGCUGCCCUUUCAUAAUCUCUUAAACGGGAGGGGAUUUACUGUCGAGUGUCGACUAAUCCAUUGAAGAGACUGCAUGUCUCGUUUCGCGACAUCGUUUUCUUGUGAUGUUUUGGUCAACAGUUUGUGACAUUGUUGCAACGCUAACGUUAGUCUCCAGCGCGGUCACAGGUAAACUGGCGCCAACGGUUCAAGAAGAAUAACUGACCAUAUUCAUCUUCGAACUAUUCACCAUGUUUCUGCAACUGUACAGAGACCGUCGGUUUGUCGUUGUACAGUCAGUCUGAACGCUAUCAAAUAGCCGAGGGGAGAUGCGGGCUGAUGUGGAGUACAGCCCGGUCGGCGAGGGGCUGGGGAUGAGCGAGUUCUGGCUCCAUGUGUGGAUGCGGAGGGUCGCCGUGAUCGCUGCCCAUGUUAUUGCCUUUGGUCUCACUGUGCUGAUUUCACUACUGUCUGGAACAACACAAAACCUGCAGGCCUGGGGAACUGGUGGGUUUUGUUCCACACCAGCACGAAAGCAUCACAAGUAUUGAUCAAGUAUCAGUUGAUCAAUUAUCAGAGUCCUGCUCUGGUGCUGGGCUUGGAGAAAAAACCAGCAAAGCAUUGAUCCCAAGGACUAGGGUUGAUGACUACAGUAGUAACCUACAUUUCAACAAUGCAUCUGUGUUUCAGGUCUCUUUUCCUGGCAUCCUGUUUGUAUGUCUAGUGCAGUAAGUGAUCCUAAUGGCAUAAACAUGACACACACAAACACUGGCUGAAGUGUACUACUAUACCAAAAUAGCAGCUACGUCUAGUUGUAGUAGUUUUAGGUAAUGUCACUGUGGCAGAUGAAGCUCUAUGACACAUCUUAUUUCUGCUGUGACAUGUAUACCAACUAAGUCUAUCUUUUAAGAUACCAAGUAUGCAUCCUAGGAUGUGGACUCGCACAUACAGUAGAGUACAGUAGAUACAGUAGCCAAUAGACACAGACAUACAUACUUGGUAUCUUAAAAGAUAGACAUACAGGUAACUGCCAAAAUGAAGAUAACACCAACAUUAAGUGUCUUAAUAGGGCGUUGGACCACCAAGAGCCAGAACAACUUCACUGUUUUGUACGAUUACAUUACAUUUUUCAAACAAUAUAGACAUAUACAGGCAACAAAAAAAGCGAUAGACGCACACAAACAUCAAUGACAUCACAUCUGUCCAGAUCCACAUUUUCCCACCGCAUCUCCAGUGACAUAGAACGUGUGAACAUGUAGGCUGAACAAACAUUUAACAGAGAACACACCAAAGACAUAAAGCAAGUACUUCUUUGUACUUUGUGCCUUUUUAGGGCUUAUAAACUCUAACUCAUCUCCUAAUGUACCAAAAGACUGGAUUAUGUAAUUGUAAAUACAUUGGCGAAAGACUGCCACUUAAAGCUGCAAAUAUGUAACUGUUUGGGCGACCUGACAAAAUUCACAAAGAAAUAUGAAUUAAAGAUCUAUAAUUUUCUUUGAAAGCAAAUCUAAGGAGCAGUAGAUCUGUUCUAUGUGCUCUUUCUAUGCUUCCUGUUUUUUAAGUUUCGGUUUUCUGUCUUACUUUUGGUUUUGUACGCCAGCUUCAAACAGCUGGAAAUUCAAUAUUUUUGGUUAUGGAAAAUAUAGUACAGUUAUUCACUAUACUUGCUUGUUUUGUCACUUAAACUGAAAUAAUAACUAUUAGAAUUUUAGUAACCAGGAAAUGGCAGUGCGAUUUCUGCAUAGUGCAUCUUUAAAUACUGUGGUCAGUUUAUAAUACCUUGUGAAUUAAAGUAUAGUGGCUGGCGGGGCUCUACUUGGGGAGAGUGGGUCCACCGAAAGACCGAAGUGAGAUGAGUGAAGAGGCAUCACACAUCCUUCAGGGAAAUGUCUGAUGCCCUCCCAGCCACCCGUCCCAGUCCCUCAGAUGGAGCCCAUCUCCACUCUCACCAAUAACCACCAUUGGAUCUUAGCUAUGAUGGCAAACAAGGAAUAACGAUGACUUGACUUCCUCUCCUAAUUUGGCAUUGUUCUCAUGCUCAUCAAACCAUUCAGUGACCACUCAUGCCUUGUGAAUGGGGGAAUUGUCAUUCUAUGCCCCCCGCAUAGCCAUGGUUGCCAAAAUAAUGGCCCGCACUGCAUUUUUAUACAUGACCCUAAGCAUGAUGCGAUUUUAAUUACUUAAUUAACUCAGAAACCACACCUGUUUGGAAGCACCCGCUUUCAAUAUACUUUGUGUCCCUCAUUACUCAAGUGUUUCCACUUAUAUUUUGGCAGUUACUUGUACAUAUUUGGUAUCUUAAAAGAUAGACACAGACAAUGUUGUAGUGGAGGGUAUAAGCCGGUAUAUGCCAUUUACCCAGGUAUCUUUCAGUGGGCAUUGCGUAUACUCCUUAAUCCCCACAUUGCAUAUAAAAGUAGUAUAGUGAAGGUAUAAGCCUAUCAAUGGCUGAUGGAUCAGAUCAGAAUGUUUAGCUUUAAAAAUAUAUCUGAAACCUGUGAAUGACAGACUCAUGAUUGUUUCAGUAGUAGGCCUACUAUUAGCCUACUGGCACAGAGUGUGAAAGACUAAUAUGAGAUUUAUCCUUUUAAGUCAUUCAGAGUAUGUCACUGUUUCUCAUAUAAUUUGUAUAUAAUAUAGUAUAUGCCAUUUAGCAGACACUUUUAUCCAAAGCAACUGAAUGUGUGGUUGUGAGCAGAGCAGCUAUGUGGAUGUGUAUUUUACCAACCCAUUUUUAUCAGGGGUCGGCAACUAGAUUGAGCCACGGAAUGUUUUGUCAGAGCAAAUUGUCAGGGGGCCGGAACAUAAUUAUGUAAAUUUGCAAUUAACACUGCAAAUUGACCACAACUAAAUCCAAAAAUAGAUUUUAUUUGAAAAUAACAAUCAUUUCAUACCUCGAUUACAUUGAGACACAAUCACAUAUCUUUUUAUUUCAUUUGUAAGAAUACAUGGGAAAAGAUUAAGAAGAAGAAGUGACCACUAACCACUGAUCCAGCAGUAGAUAUUUUCUCAGCCCCCUGUUAGCAUUAAUAUCAGGUAGGGGAAAUCUAAUCAUAUAUAGAUCUGUGUUUGACGGCAACAUCGACCUCAAGUGUGAUCAUUGAAUAAGGUGAGUAUAAAUUAAUGGUCAGUAAUUUGGGUUCAUUUUAAGGAGGCCCAUACCUCCUCAGUCAAGCGUGUAUAUACACCAGACUGACUAACGCUGCGCUAUGAUUCCGUCUAGUGAACCAUUAAUGUAAGCUUGCGGCAAUAGACAACUAAGGUUGCUGUGAACCUGCUGAUUUGUUGUGUCUCAAUAAAAACCUUGAAUCCCA